Molecule: transfer RNA, 77 nt
Filed under: Phenylobacterium soli
Lineage: Bacteria; Pseudomonadati; Pseudomonadota; Alphaproteobacteria; Caulobacterales; Caulobacteraceae
Description: Phenylobacterium sp. LX32 tRNA-Pro
Rfam family: tRNA
About the family: Transfer RNA (tRNA) molecules are approximately 80 nucleotides in length. Their secondary structure includes four short double-helical elements and three loops (D, anti-codon, and T loops).
Source: RNAcentral
CUGCGUGUAGCUCAGCUUGGUAGAGUACCUGCCUUGGAAGCAGGGGGUCAGAGGUUCAAGUCCUCUCACGCAGACCA